UCACCACGAUACUAGAUCGACACUUGUUUUGAAAAUCGUUGCCAAAGGCCAUCAAAAAGCUCGUGAUCGACGACCACUGCCACGUUGCGUCGUUGCUAAUCUUCACUAGGCCUCGAUAAUCGGCGGCGGCGGCGGCUUCAAUUCGCUGCCUCAUCACCAUGAUAUUUUGAUCCAGCUGAUCCAAAGACGGUGAUCCCAAUGAUCUAGUUGCUAGAUCCUCUUAUCGACGUGUUUCUUGAUCCGGAUAGGAGGCGGUUGUUGAUUCCAUGCAUGGACCUCGUUGCUAUCACACUAACUGGAGCACUUUGGAUUUGAUCCCGUCAUCAGGCCUUUCUGUUACGUGCUGCACUAAAAUGCUGAUCCAGAGCGAUAUGGCUAGCUACAUGUAUAGCAUCAAGACAUGAGUAUUAUGCAUUUCACAUACUGACAUACUCGUAUAACCUGUAUGAACAUAUACUCGAUCAUCUCGUAGA
Molecule: long non-coding RNA, 473 nt
Organism: Sorghum bicolor (sorghum)
Lineage: Eukaryota; Viridiplantae; Streptophyta; Magnoliopsida; Poales; Poaceae
Exons: 3
Source: RefSeq, a predicted model, not a curated record